RNAcentral lists this Y RNA (111 nucleotides) under Saimiri boliviensis boliviensis (Bolivian squirrel monkey). Its description in RNAcentral is "Y RNA (ENSSBOG00000015299.1)". It matches the Rfam family "Y RNA". Rfam says of the family: Y RNAs are components of the Ro ribonucleoprotein particle (Ro RNP), in association with Ro60 and La proteins. The Y RNAs and Ro60 and La proteins are well conserved, but the function of the Ro RNP is not known. In humans the RNA component can be one of four small RNAs -- hY1, hY3, hY4 and hY5. The record is from Rfam by way of RNAcentral. Lineage: Eukaryota; Metazoa; Chordata; Mammalia; Primates; Cebidae.
GGCUGGUCCAAAGAUAGUGAGUUAUCUCAAUUGAUUGUUCACAGUCAGUUACAGAUCAAACUCCUUGUUCUACUCUUUCCCCUCUUCUCUACUGCACUUGAAUAGUCUUAA